GAUGAACGCUGGCGGCGUGCCUAAUACAUGCAAGUCGAGCGAACAGACGAGGAGCUUGCUCCUCUGACGUUAGCGGCGGACGGGUGAGUAACACGUGGAUAACCUACCUAUAAGACUGGGAUAACUUCGGGAAACCGGAGCUAAUAACGGAUAAUAUAUUGAACCGCAUGGUUCAAUAGUGAAAGACGGGUUUGCUGUCACUUAUAGAUGGAUCCGCGCCGCAUUAGCUAGUUGGUAAGGUAACGGCUUACCAAGGCGACGAUGCGUAGCCGACCUGAGAGGGUGAUCGGCCACACUGGAACUGAGACACGGUCCAGACUCCUACGGGAGGCAGCAGUAGGGAAUCUUCCGCAAUGGGCGAAAGCCUGACGGAGCAACGCCGCGUGAGUGAUGAAGGUCUUCGGAUCGUAAAACUCUGUUAUUAGGGAAGAACAAAUGUGUAAGUAACUAUGCACGUCUUGACGGUACCUAAUCAGAAAGCCACGGCUAACUACGUG
RNAcentral lists this ribosomal RNA (497 nucleotides) under uncultured bacterium. Its description in RNAcentral is "partial 16S ribosomal RNA". It matches the Rfam family "Bacterial small subunit ribosomal RNA", at positions 28 to 507 of the family's 1533-position model. The record is from RNAcentral.